This 461-nucleotide ribosomal RNA is filed under the name uncultured bacterium. RNAcentral's name for it is "partial 16S ribosomal RNA". It matches the Rfam family "Bacterial small subunit ribosomal RNA", at positions 338 to 795 of the family's 1533-position model. The record is from RNAcentral.
CCUACGGGCGGCAGCAGUGAGGAAUAUUGGUCAAUGGGCGAGAGCCUGAACCAGCCAAGUCGCGUGAAGGAUGACGGCCCUACGGGUUGUAAACUUCUUUUGUCAGGGAGCAAUUGGGUCCACGCGUGGGCUUAGCGAGAGUACCUGAAGAAAAAGCAUCGGCUAACUCCGUGCCAGCAGCCGCGGUAAUACGGAGGAUGCGAGCGUUAUCCGGAUUUACUGGGUGUAAAGGGGGCGUAGACGGCUGGUCAAGUCUGAAGUGAAAGCCCGGGGCUUAACCCCGGAACGGCUUUGGAAACUGAGCAGCUAGAGUGCUGGAGAGGUAAGCGGAAUUCCUAGUGUAGCGGUGAAAUGCGUAGAUAUUAGGAGGAACACCAGUGGCGAAGGCGGCUUACUGGACAGUAACUGACGUUGAGGCUCGAAAGCGUGGGGAGCAAACAGGAUUAGAUACCCGUGUAGUC